This 105-nucleotide small RNA is filed under the name Afipia carboxidovorans OM5. Its description in RNAcentral is "Oligotropha carboxidovorans OM5 Repression of heat shock gene expression (ROSE) element". It matches the Rfam family "Repression of heat shock gene expression (ROSE) element". Rfam says of the family: This family represents a 5' UTR cis-regulatory element found in heat shock mRNAs and is known as the ROSE (repression of heat shock gene expression) element. The ROSE element is a negative regulator of heat shock gene expression. The record is from Rfam by way of RNAcentral. Lineage: Bacteria; Pseudomonadati; Pseudomonadota; Alphaproteobacteria; Hyphomicrobiales; Nitrobacteraceae.
CCGGCCGCUCAUUUCGGGGUCGGAAAGCCGAGCCGAUGCAACAGCGUCCAACGGCAGAACAACUUGUAUCCAUGUUGCUUCACAAGGAGGAUGUGGCUAUGAGAA